Molecule: ribosomal RNA, 433 nt
Filed under: uncultured bacterium
Lineage: Bacteria
Description: partial 16S ribosomal RNA
Rfam family: Bacterial small subunit ribosomal RNA
Source: RNAcentral
AACGAACGCUGGCGGCAUGCCUAACACAUGCAAGUCGAACGAGACCUUCGGGUCUAGUGGCGCACGGGUGCGUAACGCGUGGGAACCUGCCCUUAGGUUCGGAAUAACUCCCCGAAAGGGGUGCUAAUACCGGAUAAUGUCUUCGGACCAAAGAUUUAUCGCCUUUGGAUGGGCCCGCGUUGGAUUAGCUAGUUGGUAGGGUAAAAGCCUACCAAGGCGACGAUCCAUAGCUGGUCUGAGAGGAUGAUCAGCCACACUGGGACUGAGACACGGCCCAGACUCCUACGGGAGGCAGCAGUGCGGAAUAUUGGACAAUGGGGGGAAGCCUGAUCCAGCAAUGCCGCGUGAGUGAUGAAGGCCUUAGGGUUGUAAAGCUCUUUUACCCGGGAUGAUAAUGACAGUACCGGGAGAAUAAGCUCCGGCUAACUCCGUG